RNAcentral lists this ribosomal RNA (484 nucleotides) under uncultured bacterium. RNAcentral's name for it is "partial 16S ribosomal RNA". It matches the Rfam family "Bacterial small subunit ribosomal RNA", at positions 30 to 507 of the family's 1533-position model. The record is from RNAcentral.
AUUGAACGCUGGCGGCAGGCCUAACACAUGCAAGUCUAGCGGAUGAAGGGAGCUUGCUCCUGGAUUCAGCGGCGGACGGGUGAGUAAUGCCUAGGAAUCUGCCUGGUAGUGGGGGAUAACGUCCGGAAACGGGCGCUAAUACCGCAUACGUCCUGAGGGAGAAAGUGGGGGAUCUUCGGACCUCACGCUAUCAGAUGAGCCUAGGUCGGAUUAGCUAGUUGGUGGGGUAAAGGCCUACCAAGGCGACGAUCCGUAACUGGUCUGAGAGGAUGAUCAGUCACACUGGAACUGAGACACGGUCCAGACUCCUACGGGAGGCAGCAGUGGGGAAUAUUGGACAAUGGGCGAAAGCCUGAUCCAGCCAUGCCGCGUGUGUGAAGAAGGUCUUCGGAUUGUAAAGCACUUUAAGUUGGGAGGAAGGGCAGUAAGUUAAUACCUUGCUGUUUUGACGUUACCAACAGAAUAAGCACCGGCUAACUUCGUA